AACCUAGCACACCUGCGGUGUGUACCUGCGGAAGGAUCAUUAACGAAUGGUCUUGGUACCUUCAAAACCCUUCAAACCAGUGGACAUGAAAAAAUGUGCUUCGGCGCUCCGGCGCCGCUUUUAUGCCGUAAUUCUGCCUUUUGUGUCUGAAUGUAAAGUAAAGAAUCAAAACUUUUAGCAAUGGAUCU
This 188-nucleotide unclassified non-coding RNA is filed under the name soil metagenome. RNAcentral's name for it is "partial contains 5.8S ribosomal RNA, internal transcribed spacer 2, and large subunit ribosomal RNA". The record is from RNAcentral.